Molecule: ribosomal RNA, 427 nt
Filed under: uncultured bacterium
Lineage: Bacteria
Description: partial 16S ribosomal RNA
Rfam family: Bacterial small subunit ribosomal RNA
Source: RNAcentral
UGGGGAAUAUUGGACAAUGGGCGAAAGCCUGAUCCAGCCAUGCCGCGUGUGUGAAGAAGGUCUUCGGAUUGUAAAGCACUUUAAGUUGGGAGGAAGGGCAUUAACCUAAUACGUUAGUGUUUUGACGUUACCGAAAGAAUAAGCACCGGCUAACUCUGUGCCAGCAGCCGCGGUAAUACAGAGGGAGCACGCGUUAAUCGGAAUUACUGGGCGUAAAGCGCGCGUAGGUGGUUUGUUAAGUUGGAUGUGAAAUCCCCGGGCUCAACCUGGGAACUGCAUUCAAAACUGACUGACUAGAGUAUGGUAGAGGGUGGUGGAAUUUCCUGUGUAGCGGUGAAAUGCGUAGAUAUAGGAAGGAACACCAGUGGCGAAGGCGACCACCUGGACUAAUACUGACACUGAGGUGCGAAAGCGUGGGGAGCAAACA